GUGGCGGACGGGUGAGUAACGCGUGGGUAACCUGCCUUGUACUGGGGGACAACAGUUGGAAACGACUGCUAAUACCGCAUAAGACCACAGCACCGCAUGGUGCAGGGGUAAAAACUCCGGUGGUACAGGAUGGACCCGCGUCUGAUUAGCUGGUUGGUGAGGUAACGGCUCACCAAGGCGACGAUCAGUAGCCGGACUGAGAGGUUGAACGGCCACAUUGGGACUGAGACACGGCCCAGACUCCUACGGGAGGCAGCAUG
Molecule: ribosomal RNA, 260 nt
Filed under: uncultured bacterium
Lineage: Bacteria
Description: partial 16S ribosomal RNA
Rfam family: Bacterial small subunit ribosomal RNA
Source: RNAcentral